Molecule: ribosomal RNA, 254 nt
Filed under: uncultured bacterium
Lineage: Bacteria
Description: partial 16S ribosomal RNA
Rfam family: Bacterial small subunit ribosomal RNA
Source: RNAcentral
UACGGAGGGUGCAAGCGUUAUCCGGAUUCACUGGGUUUAAAGGGUGCGUAGGUGGGUAUGUAAGUCAGUGGUGAAAUCCCCCGAGCUUAACUUGGGAACUGCCGUUGAUACUAUAUAUCUUGAAUAUCGCGUAGGUAAGCGGAAUAUGUCAUGUAGCGGUGAAAUGCUUAGAUAUGACAUAGAACACCAAUUGCGAAGGCAGCUUACUUCACGAUUAUUGACACUGAGGCACGAAAGCGUGGGGAGCAAACAGG